Molecule: ribosomal RNA, 450 nt
Filed under: uncultured bacterium
Lineage: Bacteria
Description: bacterial SSU rRNA
Rfam family: Bacterial small subunit ribosomal RNA
Source: RNAcentral
GUGGGGAAUAUUGGACAAUGGGCGCAAGCCUGAUCCAGCAAUGCCGCGUGUGUGAAGAAGGCCUUCGGGUUGUAAAGCACUUUUAUCAGGAGCGAAAUACCACGGGUUAAUACCCUAUGGGGCUGACGGUACCUGAGGAAUAAGCACCGGCUAACUUCGUGCCAGCAGCCGCGGUAAUACGAAGGGUGCAAGCGUUAAUCGGAAUUACUGGGCGUAAAGCGUGCGUAGGCGGUUUGUUAAGUCUGUUGUGAAAUCCCCGGGCUCAACCUGGGAAUGGCAAUGGAUACUGGCAAGCUAGAGUGUGUCAGAGGAUGGUGGAAUUCCCGGUGUAGCGGUGAAAUGCGUAGAGAUCGGGAGGAACAUCAGUGGCGAAGGCGGCCAUCUGGGACAACACUGACGCUGAGGCACGAAAGCGUGGGGAGCAAACAGGAUUAGAAACCCUAGUAGUCC